Molecule: ribosomal RNA, 215 nt
Filed under: uncultured bacterium
Lineage: Bacteria
Description: partial 16S ribosomal RNA
Rfam family: Bacterial small subunit ribosomal RNA
Source: RNAcentral
ACGCUCGACACCUACGGGAGCAGCAGUGAGGAAUAUUGGUCAAUGGGCGCUAGCCUGAACCAGCCAAGUAGCGUGAAGGAUGAAGGCUCUAUGGGUCGUAAACUUCUUUUAUAUAAGAAUAAAGUGCAUAUGUAUACUGUUUUGUAUGUAUUAUAUGAAUAAGGAUCGGCUAACUCCGUGCAGCAGCCGCGGUAAUCUGAGCGGGCUGGCAAGGC